GAUGAACGCUGGCGGCGUGCCUAAUACAUGCCAGUCGAGCGAACGGACGAGAAGCUUGCUUCUCUGAUGUUAGCGGCGGACGAGUGAGUAACACGUGGAUAACCUACCUAUAAGACUGGGAUAACUUCGGGAAACCGGAGCUAAUACCGGAUAAUAUUUUGAACCGCAUGGUUCAAAAGUGAAAGACGGUCUUGCUGUCACUUAUAGAUGGAUCCGCGCUGCAUUAGCUAGUUGGUAAGGUAACGGCUUACCAAGGCAACGAUGCAUAGCCGACCUGAGAGGGUGAUCGGCCACACUGGAACUGAGACACGGUCCAGACUCCUACGGGAGGCAGCAGUAGGGAAUCUUCCGCAAUGGGCGAAAGCCUGACGGAGCAACGCCGCGUGAGUGAUGAAGGUCUUCGGAUCGUAAAACUCUGUUAUUAGGGAAGAACAUAUGUGUAAGUAACUGUGCACAUCUUGACGGUACCUAAUCAGAAAGCCACGGCUAACUACGUG
This 497-nucleotide ribosomal RNA is filed under the name uncultured bacterium. RNAcentral's name for it is "partial 16S ribosomal RNA". It matches the Rfam family "Bacterial small subunit ribosomal RNA", at positions 28 to 507 of the family's 1533-position model. The record is from RNAcentral.